Mustela lutreola (European mink) is the source of this 1661-nucleotide long non-coding RNA. RefSeq lists it as uncharacterized. Lineage: Eukaryota; Metazoa; Chordata; Mammalia; Carnivora; Mustelidae. The transcript has 7 exons. The record is from RefSeq and is a predicted model, not a curated record.
CGUGAUGCUAUCUGUUAGGCUCCCAGAGUAGAUAAAUUACAGGGCGCGCGCGCGCACAGGGGCACAUGCAGGAGCGCAUCCCUGCGAAGGAGAGUUACGUUCCGCUAACAUCGCAAGAGAAGAUAAAGUGAGGCUUCCUGCUUCUUUCUUUGUUGUCAGUGUGACCCAUCCCAGUUACGUAGCAUCACGCAGAGAGGAACCAGUGCGAAAGCAGGCUUGCCUGGCACCCUGAUUUCCAGCCAGAGCAGAGGAAGACUGCACCGAAGGCAGGCUCACUGCAGACAGCUGCACACCUAGCAGCACGAUUAUGUAGGAAAAUAAGAAGAAGCCAUCAGAUGACCGGAGUCAGACUGUCAUUCUCUCUCUGGAAUGCACUGAGCAAUCGUCCACUGAUGGCUGGUCGUGUCCCUGCUAGUCGGCAGCUGUCCCCGCAUCCAGAGAGGACUGGCAUUGAAUUAGGUCAGUGAGUCUGGUUUCUCCUUUACACCGUGUUCUAACUGAGGAGCGGGGACCCGCGCCAGCCCCUGUGACCAGCCUGAACUGAGAGCGGGAGAGUCCCAUGGCUUCAGUUUGCUGGUGUCGCCUGCGCAGGCCCCGGCCAGCCGCGCCAGCCACGGGCAGCCUCGUCUCCUCGGUCCUAGCCUCUAUUCCUGCAGGGCGAGCUGCGUGGCAUGAGGCGCCCGCAGGCGGGGGGCACAGGUGGCAGGAGUGACCCGCCGCGCCCCGCCUGAGGCAGUGCAGCUGCGAGGCUCCAGCACUACCUGCUCUGCGGCGAACUCCGCGGCCAACGUGCGCACUCAGACCGCGUCUCUGCUCCUGGCUAACCCAAGAUGAGGGAGACAACUCAGCUCAGAAAGGCUGAGUUCUGCUUAUAGCAGCAUAGAGAGAGAGGCAGAGGGAGAACCAGGCUUCCCAAGGAGCAGGGAGCCUGCUGCAGGGCUUGAUCCCAGGACCCCAAGAUCAUGACCUGAGCCGAAGGCAGAUGCUUAACCAUCUGAGCCACCCAGGUACCCAGAGCUGAAGGUGCACUCGCAGAAAGUGGAAUCAGCUGGGACAACAGGAGCCCUCAAAAGAGCCAGGCUGUGGCCCAGGAGACAUCAGGCUUCCAGUCCCUGAAGCCUGGAGCACGUCUGAACCCGCCGCACUCACCAGUUUGCAUCGGCAACUGUUCCCAAUCACUGCCUCAGACCAGAGCUGCACACAACCUUUCAAGACCCGGUCAGCCAGGCAAGUCACUUUCCUGCAGGAUCUGUGAACCUCAGCAGAGUCCUGGCCCCGCCACUGCCACCGCAUACCCUGUGUCCCCUUCCGCCUUCUUCCCUGCAGGCAGAUGCUCCGUCGGCUUCAACCCUAGCAAUGGGCUCAAUUUCAGCACGCUGUCUCCCAGACUCCCUGGCAGCAAACGCAAUUCCUGCCUGCUCCGGACGCCAUCGUGCUGUCAUCUGAAUAUCUGGGGCCAGGGAAGUUAGCCCGCACAGAACGGAGCGGAAGCUAGAACACUACCCUGAGUCUUCACAAACCGUCCUCCACUCGGAUUCCAAAUUCACUGAGACACGCCUGACAUCUUAAUUUAAGGCGUACAAACGUGACACGUUAUGGACACACACAGUUCUUACACUGAUGUCUUACUUUGCAACACGUGUCACAGGUGAGUCCUGCCG